GCUGCUAUGUAGGAAGUGUGACUGUCCUGCCGCUGCCACGCUGAAAGGUCCAUAUGGAGAGGUCACAUGGAGGGUCAACUGCCUUUUCCAGUCUCCCACUGUUCCUCAACUGGGGAGUGGGGGUCCAGCUUUUGCUUCCUUAAUAGAGGUGUGGCCAUAAACAGAUCUCUUCUCUGGACUUCAGUGGCGCCACCUGUUCGUGAGAGCAGUAACCACCAGCUACAGUCAACUUAGUGUUCAUUGCUCCCAGGCAGAUGGACAUAUUUUACCAUAGAUGCAUGUAUCCAAAAAUAAUAUGGUACUAAUAUACAACUUGCGUGUAUGUGUAUCAGUUAGGAGAACUCAUGGAAUGUAAUC
This is a non-coding RNA of Callorhinus ursinus (northern fur seal), 357 nucleotides long. NCBI's taxonomy places the organism in Eukaryota, Metazoa, Chordata, Mammalia, Carnivora, Otariidae. The record is from RefSeq and is a predicted model, not a curated record.